RNAcentral lists this long non-coding RNA (1410 nucleotides) under Cottoperca gobio. Its description in RNAcentral is "lncRNA (ENSCGOG00000023824.1)". The record is from RNAcentral. Lineage: Eukaryota; Metazoa; Chordata; Actinopteri; Perciformes; Bovichtidae.
CUUGUCAAAGUUGCAUCUUGCCUUGAUCUGUGGUCCUGUUACAUUGCACCUGUAUCUGAGUCCUCCUUCCUCUGCUGGCUGAAAUCCCUAUUGACAAGAUUAAUAUCCAGGUAUAAGAGUAAUGUCAGUAAGUUUGAAGCUGAAUACAGACACCUGGAUCAUCUCCUUUAUAUGAUCCAACACACGUGUUAGAGGAGGGGCCAAGCACUGGUAAAAAAAAGAAAAGAAACAGGGUUCCCCCGAAAACAAAAGUGUGUGUCAGGGGACGUGUUUGGACCCAAAUGCAGCAGCACACAGGAAACCAGGAACAGUUGAUAAUGACGUUUAAUGUCAGAGCUACAGGUACAGGGCAGGACAGAUAUUAAGCACAGGGUAAAUACAGAAGUUGAAGCAGACGACCCAGCAGGGAACAGGCAGAAGGUACGCUUCUAUACUGGCUUGAUUGGAGAGGAGAUGCAGCUGGAGCCCAGGGAUUUUCCAAACAACACAUCAGGGAUAUCCCCAGCCUGUUGCCGUCUAGUCACCGACGCUGAAAAGCGGAUGAAACUGAGCAGUAGUCUGGUGCCUGGCUGUGAUGCAAUGUGUCCUUGCCCUCUCCUUUAACCUCGGAGGGAUUGUUUCGUUCUCUGCGCCUCCCUGUGCAGCUUCACUGAUGAUAUUAAGCUGCAAUGAGACUUUUUCAUUUGUCAGCAUUCCCACCGUUUGCCUGUGGCCAUCAGAUGUCUGUCUUUAAAGCUUUGGAACUGAUAAGGCACGACAGGAUGAGGUUAAUCUACCGAAUUAGUUAAUGUGAUCGCUCACCAAGACUUUAUAGUUGCUUGUUUACAUACAAAGCCCUGGAUUGAAACGUACAAUGUUUCUCAUUUGUUUCGCUUUCUACAUUAACUGCUCAAUUUUUAAGACCUUAUUCUUAUUGAGCACUGAAACGAUAAAUCAUUUAUCAUAAACAAUAUCUAUCUAUAUAAGCAUGUUAGAUCAUGUAUCGACGCAAAAUAACAUCUUCGGGUUCAAGCUUCUCAUGUGUGAAGAUUUGCUGCUUUUAUAUGUAGUCUAUCAUUAGAUAAUGAAUAAUUUUGUAGACCAAAUGAUUAUUCAGUAAAUUAAAAGUCACAGCCGGAUUAAUCCACAAUGAAAAUAAUCGAUUGUUGCUUUUUAUUUUAAUUGAAAUAUUUUAAUCACUUUGUAACUUUAUUUUGAAAAGUGCUGUAUAGAUAAAAUGUAUUGUUAUUUGUUCUGCCAUUUAUUUCCUGGAGCAUGCUUCAUACAUCUAACCAUGUGCAGAAGAGUUUCAGGAUCAAGGUGGGUUACAAGAGUUGGCGUGCCGUCCCUUACCUGGCAGUCCUGUUUUAGCAUCCCGGUGGGAACAGAUCUGCACCAGCGUGGGCUUGAUUAUUCUCCGACAGCCCUGCU